RNAcentral lists this microRNA precursor (93 nucleotides) under Marmota monax (woodchuck). The record is from RNAcentral. Lineage: Eukaryota; Metazoa; Chordata; Mammalia; Rodentia; Sciuridae.
AUACACAUCACCUGGGGAUCUUGUUAAAAUUUAGAUCCUGAUUGGACAAAUCAAAGGUGGGACUCUUCUAACAAGCUCCCAGGUGAUGCUAUU